AUACGGAGGAUCCGAGCGUUAUCCGGAUUUAUUGGGUUUAAAGGGUGCGCAGGCGGGAGAUUAAGUCGGCGGGGAAAUUUUGCAGCUCAAAUGUAAAAGAGCCUUCGAAACUGGUUUCCUUGAGUGGAGAUGAAGUAGGCGGAAUUUGUGGUGUAGCGGUGAAAUGCAUAGAUAUCACGAGGAACUCCGAUUGCGCAGGCAGCUUACUAAACUACUACUGACGCUCAGGCACGAAGGCGUGGGGAUCAAACAGGAUUAGAUACCCUGGUAGUCCACGCAGUAAGCGAUGAUUACUAGCUGUUUGCGAUACAAUGUAAGCGGCUGAGCGAAAGCGUUAAGUAAUCCACCUGGGGAGUUCGUUCGCAAGAAUGAAACUCAAAGGAAUUGACGGGG
This 393-nucleotide ribosomal RNA is filed under the name uncultured bacterium. Its description in RNAcentral is "partial 16S ribosomal RNA". It matches the Rfam family "Bacterial small subunit ribosomal RNA", at positions 523 to 918 of the family's 1533-position model. The record is from RNAcentral.